RNAcentral lists this ribosomal RNA (254 nucleotides) under uncultured bacterium. Its description in RNAcentral is "partial 16S ribosomal RNA". It matches the Rfam family "Bacterial small subunit ribosomal RNA", at positions 524 to 776 of the family's 1533-position model. The record is from RNAcentral.
UACAGAGGGGGCAAGCGUUGUUCGGAAUUACUGGGCGUAAAGGGCGCGUAGGCGGCCUUCUAAGUCGAACGUGAAAUCCCCGGGCUCAACCCGGGAACUGCGUCCGAUACUGGAAGGCUUGAAUCCGGGAGAGGGAUGUGGAAUUCCAGGUGUAGCGGUGAAAUGCGCAGAUAUCAGGAGGAACACCGAUGGCGAAGGCGGCAUCCUGGACCAAUUCUGACGCUGAGUGAGCGAAAGCCAGGGGAGCAAACGGG